UAAGAGUGAGUGGAGAAGCUUUGGAAUUGUCGUCCACCGAGAGUGCGGAAGCUGUGAGUGAUCACCGAGAGAAAGAAAAUAUUUCUGGUUUCUCCUGUCCAGCUUGCAACCGAGAAAGAGAGAAACGGAGUGUGAAGCUUUCUUACUUUUCCAACCUCAAAACCGUGAAAAAAAAAAAGGUGUGAGUGAGGGAGAGAAAACUUGUUAGAUUCAUUACUUAUUAGAUUCAAUCGAGUGAGAAUGAAGUAAAUAGAAGGAAAAGAGGAUCGGUGCUGUUUGAAGGAGCCGAAGGGAAAAAGCUAGUGCAGUCUGCAAAUUCCAGAUUCUAAGGAAAAAAAAAAAAGAGGGUUUAGCGAGGACGUGGACUUCGAUUUCCAGCUUGACUUUUGAGCUUCACUCUUGGUCGUGACGAUUAAGAAAUCUGAGCUACUUAUAUUUUCUUAUGAAUGUAUUUGAACCUCGUGAUUUCCGCUUUGUGGGUUGUAAUGUGUCUUAGUCUCAAAUAAUGUACUUUUUAUUUUGGAUUGCCACUUGAAGUUGGAAAAGUGUAAACCCUAAUUCCGAUAUCUGGUUUGUAUGUAUAUAUUUGCAUGGUAUGAAUUUACAUGUAUUUAGGAUUGUAUGACUUUACUCCUUGUAAAUACGCGUGAGGUGUUUGAAAGCUGUCGUUUGGUUAUCUUCAAAUGCUGUUAUCUCUGAAGUUAAUGUGAUUUUGGUUAGCAGCCUAUUUGGAGGAAAA
Molecule: long non-coding RNA, 739 nt
Organism: Coffea arabica (coffee)
Lineage: Eukaryota; Viridiplantae; Streptophyta; Magnoliopsida; Gentianales; Rubiaceae
Source: RefSeq, a predicted model, not a curated record